Long non-coding RNA from Lolium perenne, 3729 nucleotides. RefSeq lists it as uncharacterized. Lineage: Eukaryota; Viridiplantae; Streptophyta; Magnoliopsida; Poales; Poaceae. The record is from RefSeq and is a predicted model, not a curated record.
UUCAUUAUGGUAGCCGGUUCCAAGCCCGGAUAAAGGAGGAGGGUCCCUUUUUUCUCAAUCUUUCAGUCUCAGUUUUCAUUCUUCGCCGUUUGUAUUUAUGUCUCUCAGUUUUUCUUCUCUCAGAUUAUUGUUCUCAGUGUAUAGUCAUCAGCUUUCAUUUUCAUUUUACAUGUUCAGUCUCAGUUUUCAUUUUUCGCCGUUUGUAUUUAUGUCUCUCAGUGUUUCUUCUCUCAGAUUAUUGUUCUCAGUGUAUAGUCAUCAGCUUUAAUUUUCAUUUUACAUGUUCAGUCUCAGUUAUCAUUCUUCGCCGUUUGUAUUUAUGUCUCUCAGUAAUUCUUUUCUCAGAUAAUUGUUCUCAUUUUAGAGUCAUCAGCUUUCAUUUUCAGAUAAUUACUGUCUCAGUUUUACAUGUUCAGUCUCAGAUUAUUCCUGAGUUUUACAUGUUGAUUCUCUCAGUUUUACAUUUAUCUCUAUCUCUCAUUUACUUCAUUUUGGUUCUCCUUCUCUCAGUUAUUUUCUCAGUUAUAUUUGUUCAUCUUUCCUUCCAGUCUUUAUUUGCUCAGUUUAUUGUGAGCAAUGUGUUUCUCUCGGUCCCUCAUUUCAUCAGUCAAUCUCAUUUUUAUUUUCUCCUUCAUUAUUCUUUGUUUAGUCUUGUAGUCUUCAGUCUGUCAGUUUUUUAGUUUUUCAGUCCAUCGACAAAGGAAUAGUCAGUACUCUCCUUGAGAAGUGGCAUCGUCUUACGGCGAAGAGAUCGGCGAUUCACGAUUGUGGAAGAAAUCGUAUAAGCUGGACAUGCAUUUCCUAAAUCGGUGCAGAUUGUAGCAGAUCAUCUCCGUCCGUGCAUGAAUCAGUUGACUACAUUUGAUGUGGAUGCCGUUUCGCUGCAUGGGAUUUGAUUUUGAUCCCGAAGUUCUUGUCCAGAUUCCUGCUGCUUCUUCUUCCCUCUUUUUGUUAUCUUCUUUGCUGGAGAAUCCGAGGCUGCAAACAAGUAAAAUAGCAGUUUGUUAAAUAUGAUAUUUAAAUUGACUUUUUCAGUAAGGAAAGUGUACUUUUUCUACUGGAUGUUCGCUUCACUUGCCUGUAGAUUUAGUUGUCGAUUUCCUAGUCCUUUUUUUUUGUUUUGGUAAGUUGAACACGAGAUGUUUGUUGAUGCAGUUCUUCAAUGUGUGUUCAUUGCUACCACAGUGGCUGCACUUGUAAAAUUUGUUUGUUUUGAUUUUCUCUUUGAUUGAUAGGAGCCUUGGCCACCCUUUUGUUUUAGCACGAUCAGGAUUCUGCAAUUCAAUGGUUGAGCUUGUCCCUUCUUGCACUGAUGAAUUAAAUAAGUUCGAAAUUGUUCUUGUUGAAGUAGCUUGAGCAGCUGAUUGAGUCUCCCCUGUUGCUUCUGUUACUCUAUCCAUCGCAUCCAUGUGUUCUUCAAUUCUGAGCACCUCUUGUAGUAAAUAAUUGCACUUCUCUCUGCUUUUGCAACCUUUCGAUGCUGUCUCAGUUAGUCUUCUUGACAGUAAGUUGUACCGAAGACAGUCAUUAUCUAUUUCUUCUGGUGCAGGGAGGUGGUAGUUCAGUUUCUUUUGCUUCUUUCUCCAUCUUUCGAUAAUGUACUUUUCUGGGAUUUUAUCCACUUCUAUGUGUAGCAUGACUUUAAGGAUGUGAGAGCACAAUAAGCCAUCCUUUUCAAACUUGCAGCAAACGCAGAAGUACUCCUCAUUCUGUAAAUUUACUUGCACUAUGUAGUUUCUCUGUCUAUGCUCUCUAACUGGGUAGUUAUUUGCUUGAUAUAGAAUAUAAAUCCUAUCCUUUUCUUGCUCUCGGAUACUCAGUCUUGUUACAUCUUUGAGCAAAUGCUAGAAUUUUCUGAAUAUUGACAAGUUGUAGAGCUCAUGGGCUUGUCUUUCUAUGUAGUACUUUGUGAGGAAUUUCUUUGGUUCCACUUUCUUGUUGGAUACCUUGUGGUCAAGUUCAUCUUCUGUUGCAUGUAUUGUGUCCAAUAUUCUCUGGUAUUCUCUUAGAAAGCUUGUCAUGCUAAAUUGAGCACCCACUCCUUUUUUGAAUAAUGCAUUAGUACCUUCACUUCUAGCUGUUGUUUGGAUAAAAGGAAAGAAUUUUGUCUUGAAAUACACUGGCACAAACUUCUUUCUUGAUUUCCACAUUUCAUCGAAGAACUUGACACCACUAACGUUGUAGUCUUCAAUCAUUUUAUGCCAUAGUGUUUCAAAUUCUUCUACAGUCAGUGAGUUGUCUAUGAUGUCCUGCAUUUCUUCAUACAAACCCUCGUUUGUAGCAAAUGUUGGACCAUUCUUGUUGUCACACUUCUUCUUCACAUGAAACAAGCAGCAUCUGUGUGUUGCUUUUGGGUAAACAGUAUUAAUUGCAGUAGCCAUGCCCUGGUCUUGAUCAGUCAUUAUUGACUGGGGUGGUUUACCACCCAUCACCCCUAGGAACCUUCUGAAUAACCAUUCAAAUGUAUUUGCUGUUUCAUUUACUAUGAAAGCACAAGCAAAUAGAUAUGUUUUUCCAUGUGGUGAUAUUCCAACAAACGGAGCAAAUGGUAAGUUGUAUUUAUUUGUCAGGAAUGUUGUGUACAAACUAACACAAUCACCAUAAAGAUCAUAGUACUGUCUAGACCUUGCAUCUGACCAGAAAACACUCCUUACUUUAUUUUCUCCAUCUAGACGUCUAGGGAUAGCAUGGAUCAAAGCAUAUAUCGUGGUAAAACAAUGCUAACCCUAACACAUCUACGAUAACUACGUUGCUCGCCAUCAACAAGGCUUCAGCACGAGCAACGCAUGAACAACGAAUAAACGUAUACUGCCUAGAUCGCAAGAUGCGAUCUAGGCAGCAUGAUGCUUACCCGGAAGAAACCCUCGAAACAAGGGGUUGGCGAUGCGCCUAGAUUGGUUUGUUGUGAACGUGAUUGUUGUUUUUCUCAAUAACCCUAGAUACAUAUUUAUAGUCCGUAGACUUUCUAACGUGGGAAUAAUCCCAACCGUGUACAAGCCAAAUUCUAUCUAACCGACACGUAUCCUACUAUAUUUACAGAUACACGGGCAAACUAGCCCAAACUUCGUGCACAAGGCCGAUUCAUGUAUAUCUUCCGUGUAUAUUCUUCAAGCCCAUCUUUAAUCACGGCCCACCUCUGAUCCGGUCAAAUUCUGGUGAUAACACAUGCCCCCCUGGUUUUGGAAAUGAUAAUUCCAAAAACACUCUGCUUUUCCUUCGUCGGGUCGUGUCAUGGCAGAGCAGAACCGCCGCAGUAUCCUUCAUCAUGAUGCCUUGCCUUCUCAACUUCUCUGCAAGAUUUGACAGCGUUUUGGCAUCGCCUCCUCGAAAACUGCCAUGGCAUUAAAUUUCCACUAUGUCCCAUUUAUUUAACCGUGCAGCACAGUUCACCUCUUCAUCCCCUUGCUCUGUUCUGGCCAUCGAAAAAACCCUCCUCCACCAUGGACCCAUCCUCCUCCUCUGCUUCAUCGGCUCUCUCCUUCCAAUCUUCUUCCUCGAGUGAGCCGAUGUCAGAGCAAGAGUGGGACUUUGACUUCGUGCCAGAUGGCCCACCCGAGGCCCUCGUCGGGUCAGAUGGCGACUUGCCCCUGACCGAUGGGUGAUACGUCUCCGACGUAUCGAUAAUUUCUUAUGUUCCAUGCCACAUUAUUGAUGUUAUCUACAUGUUUUAUGCACACUUUAUGUCAUAUUCGUGCAUUUUCUGGAACUAACCUAUUAACAAGAUGCCAA